RNAcentral lists this ribosomal RNA (201 nucleotides) under uncultured bacterium. RNAcentral's name for it is "partial 16S ribosomal RNA". It matches the Rfam family "Bacterial small subunit ribosomal RNA", at positions 521 to 721 of the family's 1533-position model. The record is from RNAcentral.
UAAUACAGAGGUGGCAAGCGUUGUCCGGAAUUACUGGGCGUAAAGGGCGCGUAGGUGGCCUUCUUAGUCAGACGUGAAAUCCCCAGGCUUAACCUGGGAACUGCGUCUGAUACUGGAAGGCUCGAGUUCGUGAGAGGAAUGUGGAAUUCCAGGUGUAGCGGUGAAAUGCGUAGAUAUCUGGAGGAACACCGGUGGCGAAGG